AUACAGAGGGUGCAAGCGUUAAUCGGAAUUACUGGGCGUAAAGCGCACGCAGGCGGUUUGUUAAGUCAGAUGUGAAAUCCCCGGGCUCAACCUGGGAACUGCAUCUGAUACUGGCAAGCUUGAGUCUCGUAGAGGGGGGUAGAAUUCCAGGUGUAGCGGUGAAAUGCGUAGAGAUCUGGAGGAAUACCGGUGGCGAAGGCGGCCCCCUGGACGAAGACUGACGCUCAGGUGCGAAAGCGUGGGGAGCAAACAGGAUUAGAUACCCUGGUAGUCCACGUCGUAAACGAUGUCGACUUGGAGGUUGUGCCCUUGAGGCGUGGCUUCCGGAGCUAACGCGUUAAGUCGACCGCCUGGGGAGUACGGCCGCAAGGUUAAAACUCAAAUGAAUUGACGGGG
Molecule: ribosomal RNA, 396 nt
Filed under: uncultured bacterium
Lineage: Bacteria
Description: partial 16S ribosomal RNA
Rfam family: Bacterial small subunit ribosomal RNA
Source: RNAcentral